RNAcentral lists this ribosomal RNA (525 nucleotides) under uncultured bacterium. RNAcentral describes it as "bacterial SSU rRNA". It matches the Rfam family "Bacterial small subunit ribosomal RNA", at positions 777 to 1301 of the family's 1533-position model. The record is from RNAcentral.
AAUAGAUACCCCGGUAGUCCACGCCGUAAACGAUGAGUGCUAAGUGUUAGAGGGUUUCCGCCCUUUAGUGCUGCAGCUAACGCAUUAAGCACUCCGCCUGGGGAGUACGGUCGCAAGACUGAAACUCAAAGGAAUUGACGGGGGCCCGCACAAGCGGUGGAGCAUGUGGUUUAAUUCGAAGCAACGCGAAGAACCUUACCAGGUCUUGACAUCCUCUGACAACUCUAGAGAUAGAGCGUUCCCCUUCGGGGGACAGAGUGACAGGUGGUGCAUGGUUGUCGUCAGCUCGUGUCGUGAGAUGUUGGGUUAAGUCCCGCAACGAGCGCAACCCUUGAUCUUAGUUGCCAGCAUUUAGUUGGGCACUCUAAGGUGACUGCCGGUGACAAACCGGAGGAAGGUGGGGAUGACGUCAAAUCAUCAUGCCCCGUUAUGACCUGGGCUACACACGUGCUACAAUGGAUGGUACAAAGGGCUGCAGACCGCGAGGUCAAGCCAAUCCCAUAAACCAUUCUCAGUUCGGAUUGU